GCGCCCGUAGCUCAGGUGGACAGAGCAGGAGCCUUCUAAGCUCUUGGUCGGGGGUUCGAAUCCUCCCGGGCGCGCCA
RNAcentral lists this transfer RNA (77 nucleotides) under Desulfomicrobiaceae bacterium. RNAcentral's name for it is "tRNA-Arg". It matches the Rfam family "tRNA". From Rfam's summary of the family: Transfer RNA (tRNA) molecules are approximately 80 nucleotides in length. Their secondary structure includes four short double-helical elements and three loops (D, anti-codon, and T loops). Lineage: Bacteria; Pseudomonadati; Thermodesulfobacteriota; Desulfovibrionia; Desulfovibrionales; Desulfomicrobiaceae. RNAcentral also lists the same sequence under 1 other name. The record is from RNAcentral.